This 390-nucleotide ribosomal RNA is filed under the name uncultured bacterium. RNAcentral describes it as "bacterial SSU rRNA". It matches the Rfam family "Bacterial small subunit ribosomal RNA", at positions 30 to 419 of the family's 1533-position model. The record is from RNAcentral.
AUUGAACGCUGGCGGCAUGCCUUACACAUGCAAGUCGAACGGCAGCACGGGAGCAAUCCUGGUGGCGAGUGGCGAACGGGUGAGUAAUAUAUCGGAACGUGCCCAGUCGUGGGGGAUAACGUAGCGAAAGCUACGCUAAUACCGCAUACGAUCUAUGGAUGAAAGCGGGGGAUCGCAAGACCUCGCGCGAUUGGAGCGGCCGAUAUCAGAUUAGGUAGUUGGUGAGGUAAAGGCUCACCAAGCCGACGAUCUGUAGCUGGUCUGAGAGGACGACCAGCCACACUGGGACUGAGACACGGCCCAGACUCCUACGGGAGGCAGCAGUGGGGAAUUUUGGGACAAUGGGCGCAAGCCUGAUCCAGCAAUGCCGCGUGCAGGAUGAAGGCCUUC